This 408-nucleotide ribosomal RNA is filed under the name uncultured bacterium. RNAcentral's name for it is "partial 16S ribosomal RNA". It matches the Rfam family "Bacterial small subunit ribosomal RNA", at positions 28 to 526 of the family's 1533-position model. The record is from RNAcentral.
GACGAACGCUGGCGGCGUGCUUAACACAUGCAAGUCGAACGAAGUGGCGAACGGGUGAGUAACGCGUAAUCAACCUGCCCUUCAGAGGGGGACAACAGUUGGAACCGACUGCUAAUACCGCAUACUGAAGGAGGGGAUUGCGUCGGAUUAGAUAGUGGGAGGGGUAACGGCCCACCAAGGCGAGGAUCUGUAGCAGGGCUGAGAGGAUGAACGGCCACAUUGGGACUGAGACACGGCCCAGACGCCGACGGGAGGCAGCAGUGGGGAAUCUUCCGCCAUGGACGAAAGUCUGACGGAGCAACGCCGCGUGAGUGAUGACGGCCUUCGGGUUGUAAAGCUCUGUUAAGCGGGACGCGGUACCGGAAUAGAAAGCCACGGCUAACUACGUGCCAGCCGCCGCGGUAAUUC